UCCGGNAAUUAUUGGGCGUAAAGCGCGCGCAGGCGGAUAGNUCAGUCUGUCUUAAAAGUUCGGGGCUUAACCCCGUGAUGGGAUGGAAACUNCCAAUCUAGAGUAUCGGAGAGGAAAGUGGAAUUCNUAGUGUAGCGGUGAAAUGCGUAGAUAUUAGGAAGAACACCAGUGGCGAAGGCGACUUUCUGGACGAAAACUGACGCUGAGGCGCGAAAGCCAGGGGAGCGAACGGGAUUAGAUACCCCGGUAGUCCUGNCCGUAAACGAUGGGUACUAGGUGUAGGAGGUAUCGACCCCUUCUGUGCCGGAGUUAACGCAAUAAGUACCCCGCCUGGGGAGUACGACCGCAAGGUGGAAACUCAAAGGAAUUGACGGGGGCCCGCACAAGCGGUGGAGUAUGUGGUUUAGUUCGACGCAACGCGAUGAACCUUACCAGGUCUUGACAUUGAUGGACAGAACCAGAGAUGGUUCCUCUUCUUCGGAAGCCAGAAAACAGGUGGUGCACGGUUGUCGUCAGCUCGUGUCGUGAGAUGUUGGGUUAAGUCCCGCAACGAGCGCAACCCCUAUCUUAUGUUGCCAGCACGUAAAGGUGGGAACUCACGAGAGACUGCCGCAGACAAUGCGGAGGAAGGCGGGGAUGAUGUCAAAUCAUCAUGCCCCUUAUGACCUGGGCUACACACGUACUACAAUGGGAGUUAAUAGACGGAGGCGAGAUCGCGAGAUGGAGCAAACCCGAGAAACACUCUCUCAGUUCGGAUCGUAGGCUGCAACUCGCCUACGUGAAGUCGGAAUCGCUAGUAAUCGCAGGUCAGCAUACUGCGGUGAAUACGUUCCCGGGCCUUGUACACACCGCCCGUCACACCACGAAAGUCGGAAGUGCCCAAAG
This 885-nucleotide ribosomal RNA is filed under the name uncultured bacterium. Its description in RNAcentral is "bacterial SSU rRNA". It matches the Rfam family "Bacterial small subunit ribosomal RNA", at positions 543 to 1426 of the family's 1533-position model. The record is from RNAcentral.